GACGAACGCUGGCGGCGUGCUUAACACAUGCAAGUCAAGGAGAAAGUUUCGGCUUGCCGAGAUGAUUAAACUGGCGAACGGGUGAGUAACGCGUAGGCAACCUGCCCUUGUGAAUGGGAUAACUUCGGGAAACCGGAGCUAAUACCGUAUAACAUCUUUUUAUCGCCUGGUAGAAAGAUCAAAGAUGCUUUUGUAUCGCGCAAGGAUGGGCCUGCGUUCCAUUAGCUAGUUGGUAAGGUAAAGGCUUACCAAGGCUUCGAUCAGUAGCUGGUCUGAGAGGACGGCCAGCCACACUGGGACUGAGACACGGCCCAGACUCCUACGGGAGGCAGCAGUGGGGAAUUUUGGACAAUGGGGGCAACCCUGAUCCAGCCAUGCCGCGUGAGUGAAGAAGGCCUUCGGGUUGUAAAGCUCUUUCAGCCGGAACGAAACGGUUACGGUUAAUACCCGUAACUACUGACGGUACCGGAAGAAGAAGCACCGGCUAACUACGUGCCAGCAGCCGCGGUAAUACGUAGGGUGCGAGCGUUAAUCGGAAUUACUGGGCGUAAAGCGUGCGCAGGUGGUUUUGUAAGUCAGAUGUGAAAUCCCCGGGCUUAACCUGGGAACUGCGUUUGAAACUACAAGGCUAGAGUGUGGCAGAGGGGGGUGGAAUUCCGCGUGUAGCAGUGAAAUGCGUAGAGAUGUGGAGGAACACCGAUGGCGAANNCAGCCCCCUGGGUCAACACUGACGCUCAGGCACGAAAGCAUGGGGAGCAAACAGGAUUAGAUACCCUGGUAGUCCAUGCCCUAAACGAUGUCAACUAGUUGUCGGGUCUUAACGGGCUUGGUAACGUAGCUAACGCGUGAAGUUGACCGCCUGGGGAGUACGAUCGCAAGAUUAAAACUCAAAGGAAUUGACGGGGACCCGCACAAGCGGUGGAUUAUGUGGAUUAAUUCGAUGCAACGCGAAAAACCUUACCUACCCUUGACAUGUAUUGGAGCUCGCAGAGAUGUGGGUGUGCCCGAAAGGGAACGAUAACACAGGUGCUGCAUGGCUGUCGUCAGCUCGUGUCGUGAGAUGUUGGGUUAAGUCCCGCAACGAGCGCAACCCUUGUCAUUAAUUGCCAUCAUUUAGUUGGGCACUUUAAUGAGACUGCCGGUGACAAACCGGAGGAAGGUGGGGAUGACGUCAAGUCCUCAUGGCCCUUAUGGGUAGGGCUUCACACGUAAUACAAUGGCGCGUACAGAGGGUUGCCAACCCGCAAGGGGGAGCUAAUCUCAGAAAGCGCGUCGUAGUCCGGAUCGGAGUCUGCAACUCGACUCCGUGAAGUCGGAAUCGCUAGUAAUCGCGGAUCAGCAUGUCGCGGUGAAUACGUUCCCGGGUCUUGUACACACCGCCCGCCACACCAUGGGAGUGGGUUCCACCAGAAGCAGGUAGUCUAACCGUAAGGAGGACGCUUGCCACGGUGAGAUUCAUGACUGGGGUG
This 1469-nucleotide ribosomal RNA is filed under the name uncultured bacterium. RNAcentral's name for it is "partial 16S ribosomal RNA". It matches the Rfam family "Bacterial small subunit ribosomal RNA". The record is from RNAcentral.